UGUAUUUCACUCAUUAAAAUGCCGACUUUGACAGGCAUAUUGUAUGUAUCGUGAUCUUCUGCCUGUUAUUCAGUGGGCUGGAAUCAAGGAGUCUAGAUUGGCUGGAUGAUGGACGUAGGCAAGUACAGGAGGACGAUGUUCGUCUGGUGGGUGGGAGUUGGCCAUCAGAGGGGCGGGUGGGGGUGUUCCACGCUGGCAGCUGGGGGCGGUGUGUGAUGAUGGCUGGGGGACGGAGGAGGCGCAGGUGGUGUGCACCCAGUUGGGUUUCCGUGGUGCCCUUUCUGCAGAACCAGGAGGGAAGUUGGGACAAGGUUCUGGAAACAUAUGACUGGAUGAUCUAGGAUGCAAAGGCAGUGUGAGGUCCCUGAGUAGCUGUGCCUUUAAAGGCUGGGGAGUGACUGACUGCUCCCAUUCAGAGGAUGCUGGUGUGGUGUGUGAUGUUGGUAAGGUCCCUACUGAAACACAGACAAACUGCUGACAAAAAUUAGAACAGAUAGUUAACUACCUCAACUGAAUGUGUCAAUUAUUUAUAGUAAGCAAGUAUAGUAAGAAGUGUGUCAUAAAUGAUCAAAUGCAAAUUUAAGAUUGAAGAUCAAUCAAUCAACAAAUGAAUCCACCUCAAUAGAUUUUUCCAUUCAUUAACUCAAAGGAAUAAUAC
Molecule: long non-coding RNA, 658 nt
Organism: Clupea harengus (Atlantic herring)
Lineage: Eukaryota; Metazoa; Chordata; Actinopteri; Clupeiformes; Clupeidae
Exons: 3
Source: RefSeq, a predicted model, not a curated record